This 332-nucleotide long non-coding RNA is filed under the name Hordeum vulgare. Its description in RNAcentral is "long non-coding RNA (HVUL_LNC013817)". The record is from RNAcentral. Lineage: Eukaryota; Viridiplantae; Streptophyta; Magnoliopsida; Poales; Poaceae.
GCCGUUGCGGCUGGCGGAGGCCGGCCCGGUGCUGGAAGGGUCGACAUGGGUCGACUGAGCUGGCGGCCGCCCCGUCCGGGCGGUUGCUGCAGUGCCUGGGCCCGCUGCUCGAAGGCCCGGGCGUAGUACAUGGCGGACUGAAGGUCGGGGGGUUCCCGGAGCUCGACAUCCAUGCGAAUAUGGUCCGGUAGGCCACCCACAAAGAGCUUAGCGCGCUGAGACGCGGAUAUGCCUGGCGCGUGGCAUGCCAGGGCUUGGAAUCGGUCGGCGUAGUCCUGGACCGUUGAGGUAAACGGUAAGCGGCCAAGGGCUGCCAGUCGGCUGCCACGGAU